Molecule: ribosomal RNA, 304 nt
Filed under: uncultured Arthrobacter sp.
Lineage: Bacteria; Bacillati; Actinomycetota; Actinomycetes; Micrococcales; Micrococcaceae
Description: bacterial SSU rRNA
Rfam family: Bacterial small subunit ribosomal RNA
Source: RNAcentral
GAUGGAUGAGCCUGCGUUUGGAUUUAAGCUAGUUGGGUUGAGGGUAAUGGCCGUACCAAGGCUACGAUCCAUAGCUGAUUUGAGAGAAUGAUCAGCCACAUUGGGACUGAGACACGGCCCAAACUCCUACGGGAGGGCAGCAGUGAGGAAUAUUGGACAAUGGGGGAAACCCUGAUCCAGCAAUGCCAUGUGUGUGAAGAAGGCCUUAGGGUUGUAAAGCACUUUAGUUGGGGAAGAAAGCUUUAAGGUUAAUAACCUUGAGGAAGGACGUUACCCAAAGAAUAAGCACCGGCUAACUCCGUGC